Dermochelys coriacea (leatherback sea turtle) is the source of this 4526-nucleotide long non-coding RNA. RefSeq lists it as uncharacterized. Lineage: Eukaryota; Metazoa; Chordata; Testudines; Dermochelyidae. The transcript is spliced from 3 exons. The record is from RefSeq and is a predicted model, not a curated record.
CACAGACUCCUCAUGUGACCUUGGCAGGGCGGCUGUGAGAGAGGAAACAAGCCAACGCGGAGUCUCUCCAGCCGUGGCCUCCCCUCUAUUUGCCCAUGGAACUGUCAAGGGGCUGGGCAGGGAAUUCACUGGAUCUGCUGCAACUUGCCAGAGGUGCCUUUGUGAGCAGAAGGUCCCUGUGACUCAUUCACUUUCUAUUUCCUCUGGAUGGGCGCAGGAAACCAGCCCUGCCAGAAAAGUGCUAAUAUUAGCCCCAUCGUGCUCACAUCUUCACUGAGGGAGUGUUAUUUCUACGCUGUGGAGAUGCUAGUGUCUGGCUUAUCAGAAGCACCCUACCUCCAUCCUCUCCACAUGUCCCCUGGACCUCUGGGGUACCCUCUCGCUGCAUGUCCGACCCAACGACUCGGGGGCAGCAGGACAGUCGCUAGAGAGGUAGAGUUGUUUAGUGGUUAGAACAACACGCUGGGAAUCAGGCGCCUUCGGUUCUAUUCCCAGCUCUGCCAAGUCACUUCCCUUCUGCGUACCUCAGUUUCCCCUCCCAUUCUUUGUCUAUUUAGAUUGCAAGCCUUUCAAAGCAGGAAUUGUCCUGGCACAACAGGGCCCCAAUCUCUGUUUGUGUUACCGUUAAUGCAAAUAGGCAUCAACAAACCAGAACACCUGACCCAUUUCAUCUGGGACAACUCUCUCACAGAAGGGACGAUGCUGGGAAAACCUGGACAGAUGCCAGCCCUAAAUACAAAUUCUCCUCACUGAGAACGAGGUCGACUACAGCAAACACAUUCAAGAAAGGGUACUGCUAAUGCAUCAGCUUAAGGAGGGAUCCCCCCCCCAAACAGCGGUCACAUUUGGGUGCCUGCCGUCACAUCUGAUUGCAGCAAACCUCAAGCUGAGCUGGGUGACAUGGGCAUUCACGCUGCAUGGCCUGGUCUGUGCUGAGCCUGCCAGUUGGUAGAGGCUAGUCUUUGGACCAAGCCUGGUCAAACCACUGCCCAUCAGCUAUCAGGUGAGAACAGGAGACACUCGCCCCACACCUGGGCUGGAUUCAUACCUGUGGCUCUCAGGUUCCACCAGCACCGUUCACGUCUCCAUCUGGCUCUGGCUCAACCAGCAGGUUCCCAUUAGACCAAAGCAUCAAAUUGUGCUGGGCUUGUUUUCCCAUCAGUAACGGGACCCUUCCUUCCCUCCGUAACACGCCGCGGGACCCAGGAAGGGAAAAGAGUUGGCUAGUGUGAUUACCCAAAGCCAACUUGACUUUCAGAUGCUGAGCACUCUCUCCAGUCUGAGGAGAGGGCUGCUUGGGGGUGUCUGGGUCCAUCCUGACCUGUGGAGGGGGACAAAGCAGGGAUCCAUAAAUCAGGGAUGAAAUAUUCACUCUCUUCUUCCUCCCUACUGGCCAUGAUCCAGUCCCAAAUCCACAGAGGACCAGGCAACACCUGGAAUCCCAUUUAGCGCCCUUCUACAGUGCUCUAGCAAAGCAGAUGGCAACAGCGGGAUGGGGUGUUAAGAACGAAGCUGGACCGGCUGCCGUGACAUCUGUGCAAUGGGCCAGCUGGGGGGAUGGGCUCGGACAGUACUCAGAACGGGAAAGCAUAUGAGACUGCUUAAUGACAGAGAGGACAUGCUAAGAGCGGCCCAGGGUAGACGGGUGGCAGACCCUGCUUUGUGUCCAAAUCCUUUGUGUUCCUUAAAAGAACUCUGUGAAACUGGGGAAUCCCGGUGGGAACAGCCCUCCCCCAGGACCUCUGGCCCAGGGCCCCAGGACUUGGGAUGGAGGGAGGCCUCUCUGCCCCCUGAGGAUUGAGCCCCAGGCAGGGGCAGGGCAAGCUGUCCUCCCAGGGCACCACAAUAUGCCACCAGCAUAAUAUGCUUAAACACCAGGGUCUGUUGCACCGCAUGAUCAUGACCCCACUGCACGGCUUUAUUCCAGGCAUCUGAAAGCACCACAGGGGUUAUUGCUAAUCUGCUGCAGUCCAGUUAAUCUCAGCCGACCGUGGGACCGCCGCCAGUCCAUGACCAGGCAGCAUCCCCUCCUGACCGCAAGUCCUGCUUGACGGGUGGGCUCUUUGCGGCCGAGGUGGGCAACGUGACCCAAAAGAUCCGGCCAACAGCAGCCAGUGAUGAGUUCCAUCCUCUCGAGGUCAGUUCUCAAUGGUACGUCCCUAUUCCUGACAACGUCUCGUACUCAGUGUCACCUCUGGCAGUGCAUAUGAAAUGCCCCCAGCCUCCCGAUGUCUUGCUGAAGCAGGGUCCAGGUUGCAGACCCAUGGAAGCAGCUCUGAAACACGCAGGCUUGACAAAGUCCUACGUAUGUAUCUAGCAGCAAGUUCUUUUGGCUCUAGACCCUAGGCAGGUGCUCCGUGGCUGAGGCUGCUAAACAAACUCCCUUUAGGAUGUCUGGCAGACAGCCCCGUUGGAGGACAGUUUCCUGCCUGGAUAGAUGAGGACAUCUCCUGCUGCCAUGGUGUGGCCGGAAGCAUGGAUGUCUGCCUCAUGCUUUUUGCACCGAUGUGCUGGGGUUUUUUUGGUUUCAUCCAGAAACCUUUAGCCCCAAGGCAGCUGUCUUGUGCUGGAAGCUGUCUGCUGCAUCUUUGAGAUCACCUGCGUCCUGAGCAAAGAGGACACCACCGUCUGCAUAAUCCAGGCUGGUAAAAGAGGUCGAACCAGCAGUUAUCUCAGUAUUUGCAGGGAGACGUCCAAGGAGCCAAUCCAUUGCACAACAGAACCGGGCUGCAGCCAGGACACAUCCCUGCGUCACCCCAGAUCAAGCAUGAAACCUAUCGGUUCCCCAACAGACCCGUGCCUCUGAGACAUUAGCUAAAGCUUGAAUCAGUCCCAGCCAGCUCUCUCGACCAAAUCGAAGGCUGCCCUUAGGUCUAUGUAUGCAGCUGUCAAAAGCCACUUAAAUCCACGAUGGAGUACAUCGUACAGAGGAGAAUUCACCUUGGCUUUCCUGCCGGGACCAUCCCAAAGGCGGUGGCAGCACUGGUGAUGCAAGCCCCUGUGCACAGAGCACCAACCACGUCAUGCCAGACGGUCCCCACAGUCUGAGCCCAGACAGAUGCAAACUACUGACGAACACCAGACACUGGCCCAACCCCUGAGCCACAAGGCAAAGGCUCCACAAGCUCUUCUUCCUGGAGUCUCUGGGUCCCUGGCCUAGGGGCACCUCUCCCAGCCCUGAGUCCCCCCCACCCCACUGGCCUGUAUUCCACCUUUUAGCCCUUGGCCGUACCCUAGUGGGUGGAGGGCUCAUGCCCGAGGCUCUGCUCUGAGCAGGUGAAGCAACUACCUGCAGCCCACCGCCGUAGCAGCCCCGGGGUCAGGGGCAACCCCAGACUGCAGGCCCGGAGCCAAGAACCAGGGGGAGAGGAGGCAGCACAGACGGAAGGGGAGUGAACCUUCGGAGACCCUGACUGCCUGCGGGCAGGGAGGGGGCUGGGAGCAGCCUGAGCCAGCUUUUUCAAAUGCUUUUAAUUGCUCAGUUCUAGUUUUUGGCAAGGGAAUUUGCUGGAUGACUUGUGGCUUUGACUUGACUUGCAAUGAUCUGGGGCUAGGGGACCCCUGGUGUGAGAGACUCCCCAUCCCUCAGCCAGGGCUGCCUCUGGGAGGGGAGAUCAGAGGGGCCCCCCCACACCUCACCCGUCUACUCUCCUCUCUAAACCAGUGCUUGGGAGAGGAGUCUCAUGCAUAGUGCAGGCACAAGAGCUUUAUUCUCCACCCACUUCCUGGGAGUAAAAAACCACUCGGUUAUAGGGAGAAAUGGGGAGAAAUUAGGAGGCCCUGCCAGGGGGAGAGGGUUACAGCCGGGGUUCGGAAAGAGAUGCAGAGAGGCCGGAGCUGGCGAAAGACACAGACUGGCAGCAGCUGUUGCAGAGGAGAAGGCUCUUGUGCCAGCAGCAGUGGGGGAUGCAGAAGAAAGUGGCACUAGGUCCUGUGAGAAGAAGAGAGAGAGAGAGAGAGAGAGAGAGAGAGACAAAGGGCCUGGUUUCCCAGUGCCCUGCACCUCGUGCGGUUAUUUACAUUGCCGGCCCGAUGGUUGCAGUGCCUUGGAAGAGGGUGGUAUCCCUUUAAAUAGCUUGUGAACCCCUUGACAGCACUCACCACAUUUUAUGUCUCCAAAGGUACCAGACACCAGGCAAAGCAGCAGUGUGUGUGCGGUGCUAGGCUCAGCACACUGCGUGUAGUCAGCAAACAGGGCCCUUGUCUUGCCAUGGGGUUCCUUCACAUUAUCCUCCUCAUUGAGUACAAGAGCAAAAAGACACAACUGUGUUGUAGGGACCCCAUUCUCCACCGCCCUGCGAAGAGACGGUCAUUGACAGCAGUGUCAAGCGGGGGGACACCCUGCCUGUGAAUGCACUCUCGUGGCACUGGUGCACUGUUGCCAGCCCUGAGCUUUCGAAAAUCAAGAGUCAAAAAUCAUGAGACUGACUUAAAAUCAUGGGAUUAAAAAAAAACAAAACGUGUUUUAGGCUCUCUUAUUUCCUUUCUGGGUUUAGGGUUCACAUUUUUAAGCUUUUUUUCCAGAA